Molecule: ribosomal RNA, 700 nt
Filed under: uncultured bacterium
Lineage: Bacteria
Description: bacterial SSU rRNA
Rfam family: Bacterial small subunit ribosomal RNA
Source: RNAcentral
ACCGGCGCACGGGUGAGUAACACGUAUGGAACCUGCCCGCCACAGGGGGAUAACCCGGGGAAACCCGGCCUAAUACCCCAUGCCGCCCGGACCGGGCAUCCGGUCCGGGCGAAAGGAGGAAUCCGGUGGCGGCUGGGCAUGCGGCGCAUUAGCUUGACGGCGGGGUAACGGCCCACCGUGGCGACGAUGCGUAGGGGUUCCGAGAGGAAGGCCCCCCACACUGGAACUGAGACACGGUCCAGACUCCUACGGGAGGCAGCAGUGAGGAAUAUUGGUCAAUGGGCGAGAGCCUGAACCAGCCAAGUCGCGUGAGGGAGUACUGCCCUAUGGGUUGUAAACCUCUUUUGUCGGGGAGCAAAAGCCGGACGUGUCCGUCUGUGAGAGUACCCGAAGAAAAAGCAUCGGCUAACUCCGUGCCAGCAGCCGCGGUAAUACGGAGGAUGCGAGCGUUAUCCGGAUUUAUUGGGUUUAAAGGGUGCGCAGGCGGAUUUUUAAGUCAGCGGUCAAAUCGUGGGGCUCAACCCCAUCCAGCCGUUGAAACUGGGGAUCUAGAGUGUGCGAGAGGUAUGCGGAAUGCGUGGUGUAGCGGUGAAAUGCAUAGAUAUCACGCANAACCCCGAUUGCGAAGGCAGCAUACCGGUGCACAACUGACGCUCAGGCACGAAAGCGUGGGUAUCGAACAGGAUUAGAUACCCUGGUA